Molecule: ribosomal RNA, 202 nt
Filed under: uncultured bacterium
Lineage: Bacteria
Description: partial 16S ribosomal RNA
Rfam family: Bacterial small subunit ribosomal RNA
Source: RNAcentral
ACGCUCGACACCUACGGGAGGGAGCAGUGGGGAAUAUUGCACAAUGGGGGAAACCCUGAUGCAGCGACGCCGCGUGAGCGAAGAAGUAUUUCGGUAUGUAAAGCUCUAUCAGCAGGGAAGAAGAAAGACGGUACCUGACUAAGAAGCCCCGGCUAACUACGUGCCAGCAGCCGAGUAUCUGGACGGCGGGCUGGACGAAGGC